Molecule: long non-coding RNA, 1053 nt
Filed under: Apteryx haastii (Great spotted kiwi)
Lineage: Eukaryota; Metazoa; Chordata; Aves; Apterygiformes; Apterygidae
Description: lncRNA (ENSAHAG00000018039.1)
Source: RNAcentral
UCCGACACCCCUUGAGGCCCCCCCGCCCACGGAAUGACAGACCCACCGAGGAGCCCACUCCGCAGAAGCCCAGCUCCACGCUCUCCCUGGGCAGUCGUUACACGGCGCCGUGCGGAACGCACCUGGAGGAAAAACAGAGGCUUCUGGUGGGCAGGCGACAUUCAUACGGGCCUGCUCCAGAGACCAUGUUCUGCAGGAGCGCCCGCCAGGGCAUCCCCCCCGGCCCGCCAGGGAGGCCGCCCUUCUUGCCCUUGCCAGCCCGUGCUGCAGAAGCAGCAUCCCUCUCCAGCAGCACGUCUGCACAGCAGGCUUGAGGCUUGCCUGGAGACAUCCAGGCGGGUUGGAGGCCAGUGUGGGAGGGCUGGGACUCCGGGCACUGAAGGCUGGGGAGGGGCCGGGCAACACACGCAGAGGAGACUCACCCCUCACUUGCACGGGGGGCUCAUUCUGCAACUGGGCUCGGAACAGCUGCCUCAUCCCAAGGGGCCAAAGGAAACAGCUCAGUCCCUGCACUGCAGGGAGCCCAUAGUGCUCAAGGCAGCAGAGGCCUCUCUGCUUCUCGGAGACGCAGCUCUGGUGGCCUUCACCCCGGUUACAGAGUUCUUGCUCGGCCAGACGCUGUCAGCAGGGUGCAGCACCGUUAGGGCAGAGGCCGGAGCCCCGGUUGCUGGGAGGGCAGGACUCAAGAGAGCUCUGUGCUCCCCCUGCCUCCCUCCCAGCAGCAAGAAUGCCACAGGUGUCCGGCUUAGAAGGUGCUCACCCUGGCUGCCCAGCGACAGCAGCAUCAAGUCAAGAGGCCACUGGUGGACCUGCGCCCUGAUUGCAGGGAGCAGAGGUGUGCCCUGCCUCUGUGGGCCUUUAAUUACAGAGACAGUAUUCUGUCUGUCUCCUGCUCACAGUUUCCCACUUCUGUAAAGGCAGAAGUGGGCAAGAAGGCGCCAGCUUUGGAGAAAUUGCAAGCAAUGAGAGUACAGAAUCCACGAGGUGGUUACGAGGCUGAAGGUAGACAGACAACUGAGGAGAAGGCGAGGGGGACCCUUGCCUGGAGCCUGG